Molecule: ribosomal RNA, 477 nt
Filed under: Bacillus sp. PSu4_50
Lineage: Bacteria; Bacillati; Bacillota; Bacilli; Caryophanales; Bacillaceae
Description: bacterial SSU rRNA
Rfam family: Bacterial small subunit ribosomal RNA
Source: RNAcentral
GCAAGUCGAGCGGACAGAUGGGAGCUUGCUCCCUGAUGUUAGCGGCGGACGGGUGAGUAACACGUGGGUAACCUGCCUGUAAGACUGGGAUAACUCCGGGAAACCGGGGCUAAUACCGGAUGCUUGAUUGAACCGCAUGGUUCAAUUAUAAAAGGUGGCUUUUACCUACCACUUACAAAUGGACCCCCGCCCCAUUACCUAUUUGGUAAGGUAACGGCUCACCAAGGCAACAAUCCUUACCCAACCUGAAAGGUUGAUCGGCCACACUGGAACUGAAACACGGCCCAAACUCCUACGGAAGGCACCAUUAGGGAAUCUUCCCCAAUGAACAAAAUUCUAACGAACCACCGCCCCGUGAUUGAUGAAGGUUUUCGAAUCGAAAAAUUCUGUUGUUAGGAAAAACCAAUUACCGUUCAAUUAGGGCGGUACCUUGACGGUACCUAACCAAAAACCCACGGCUAACUACUUGCCACCACC